UGAGGAAGAUAAUGACGGUACUCAACAAGGAAGUGACGGCUAACUACGUGCCAGCAGCCGCGGUAAAACGUAGGUCACAAGCGUUGUCCGGAAUUACUGGGUGUAAAGGGAGCGCAGGCGGGAGAACAAGUUGGAAGUGAAAUCCAUGGGCUCAACCCAUGAACUGCUUUCAAAACUGUUUUUCUUGAGUAGUGCAGAGGUAGGCGGAAUUCCCGGUGUAGCGGUGGAAUGCGUAGAUAUCGGGAGGAACACCAGUGGCGAAGGCGGCCUACUGGGCACCAACUGACGCUGAGGCUCGAAAGUGUGGGUAGCAAACAGGAUUAGAUACCCUGGUAGUCCACACCGUAAACGAUGAUUACUAGGUGUUGGAGGAUUGACCCCUUCAGUGCCGCAGUUAACACAAUAAGUAAUCCACCUGGGGAGUACGACCGCAAGGUUGAAACUCAAAGGAAUUGACGGGGGCCCGCACAAGCAGUGGAGUAUGUGGUUUAAUUCGACGCAACGCGAAGAACCUUACCAAGUCUUGACAUCCUGCGACGCACAUAGAAAUAUGUGUUUCCUUCGGGACGCAGAGACAGGUGGUGCAUGGUUGUCGUCAGCUCGUGUCGUGAGAUGUUGGGUUAAGUCCCGCAACGAGCGCAACCCUUAUGGUCAGUUACUACGCAAGAGGACUCUGGCCGGACUG
This 685-nucleotide ribosomal RNA is filed under the name Faecalibacterium prausnitzii. RNAcentral describes it as "bacterial SSU rRNA". It matches the Rfam family "Bacterial small subunit ribosomal RNA", at positions 440 to 1151 of the family's 1533-position model. Lineage: Bacteria; Bacillati; Bacillota; Clostridia; Eubacteriales; Oscillospiraceae. The record is from RNAcentral.